GUUUCCGUAGGUGAACCUGCGGAAGGAUCAUUACCACACAUAAAAAACUUUCCACGUGAACCGUUUCAACCCAAUAGUUGGGGGUCUUAUUUGGCGGCGGCUGCUGGCUUAAUUGUUGGCGGCUGCUGCUGAGUGAGCCCUAUCAAAAAAAAGGCGAACGUUUGGGCUUCGGCCUGAUUUAGUAGUCUUUUUUUCUUUUAAACCCAUUCCUUAAUACUGAAUAUACUGUGGGGACGAAAGUCUCUGCUUUUAACUAGAUAGCAACUUUCAGCAGUGGAUGUCUAGGCUCGCACAUCGAUGAAGAACGCUGCGAACUGCGAUACGUAAUGCGAAUUGCAGGAUUCAGUGAGUCAUCGAAAUUUUGAACGCAUAUUGCACUUCCGGGUUAGUCCUGGAAGUAUGCCUGUAUCAGUGUCCGUACAUUAAACUUGACUUUCUUCCUUCCGUGUAGUCGGUGGAGGAGAUGUCAGAUGUGAAGUGUCUUGCGAUUGGUCUUCGGACCGGCUGCGAGUCCUUUUAAAUGUACUAAACUGAACUUCUCUUUGCUCGAAAAGUGGUGGCGUAGCUGGUUGUGAAGGCUGCUAUUGUGGCAAAUUGGCGACUGGUUUGUCUGCUGCGGCGUUAAUGGAAGAGUGUUCGAUUCGUGGUAUGGUUGGCUUCGGCUGAACAAUGCACUUAUUGGACGUUUUUCCUGCUGUGGCGUGAUGGACUGGUGAACCAUAGCUCGGUGGCUUGGCUUUUGAAUUGGCUUUGCUGUUGCGAAGUAGGGUGGCAGCUUCGGUUGUCGAGGGUCGAUCCAUUUGGGAACUUAAUGUGUACUUCGGUAUGCAUCUCAAUUGGACCUAUAUCAGACAUGGUUUCCGGU
This is a ribosomal RNA of 865 nucleotides. The stretch from base 263 to 417 matches the Rfam family "5.8S ribosomal RNA".